This 339-nucleotide long non-coding RNA is filed under the name Elaeis guineensis (African oil palm). Its description in RNAcentral is "long non-coding RNA (EGUI_LNC045416)". The record is from RNAcentral. Lineage: Eukaryota; Viridiplantae; Streptophyta; Magnoliopsida; Arecales; Arecaceae.
AUCCGAGCAUUGAAAAUGAUGCAAUUAGUCUUGUGCUAUUGAACAUCGUCAGGAGUACUAAAGGACUCUCUCAAUACUAGGAGUAUUUCCUCUAGCUGAGCCUCUUCAAAUUUUUGGCUGAACUCAUCAUUCAUGGAGGCCCACAUAAUGCAAAGAAUCAUGGUGCGGUCGUUGAGCCACUUCAAAUAGUAUCUCGAAUCAUGCCUCAGGCAUUGGGAGCAGGCUCCUCAGGUGCUAGAUCCGUAAUCACAUAUAGGAUCCGCUCAUGCUCUAAGAUGAUCUUAAGCUUUUGAUACCAGUUAUCGAACUUGGAUCCCGUCAACUUCUUACUAUCUAAUA